GCGUCCUUGGUGUUGCGGUAGCACACAAUCUACUUCUGGGUAGAAGAAUUUCAGGUUUAGGAUUGGGUCCGGGGUUCGAGUCCCCGAGGUCGCA
Mycena leptocephala is the source of this 94-nucleotide non-coding RNA. The record is from the annotation of a GenBank genome assembly. Lineage: Eukaryota; Fungi; Basidiomycota; Agaricomycetes; Agaricales; Mycenaceae.